Molecule: ribosomal RNA, 435 nt
Filed under: Blastocystis sp.
Lineage: Eukaryota; Bigyra; Opalinata; Blastocystidae
Description: bacterial SSU rRNA
Rfam family: Eukaryotic small subunit ribosomal RNA
Source: RNAcentral
UGUUUUGCUAUUGGAUUGAGAACAACGUACAAACCUUAUCGAUAAACAAUUGGAGGGCAAGUCUGGUGCCAGCAGCCGCGGUAAUUCCAGCUCCAAUAGCGUAUAUUAACGUUGUUGCAGUUAAAAAGCUCGUAGUUGAAAUGAAGGGUAGUUGUGUAAUGAAUACAUUCGUGUAUUUUGUUAUUCAAGUACCCUCCUUCUAAAUUCGAUAUAUGAGUAUUAAUUUACUUGUAUAUGGUUUUAGACAUUUACUGUGAGAAAAUUAGAGUGUUCAAAGCAGGCAUUUGCUUGAAUAUAUUAGCAUGGAAUAAUCAUGUAUGAUUUUCAUGAUGUAUUUGAUUGGUUUGGUUGAUGAGAAUAAGAUUAAAAGGGACAGUUGGGGGUAUUCAUAUUCAAUAGUCAGAGGUGAAAUUCUCGGAUUUAUGGAAGAUGAAC